Molecule: ribosomal RNA, 526 nt
Filed under: uncultured bacterium
Lineage: Bacteria
Description: bacterial SSU rRNA
Rfam family: Bacterial small subunit ribosomal RNA
Source: RNAcentral
AAUAGAUACCCAGGUAGUCCACGCCGUAAACGAUGAGUGCUAAGUGUUAGAGGGUUUCCGCCUUUUAGUGCUGCAGCUAACGCAUUAAGCACUCCGCCUGGGGAGUACGGCCGCAAGGCUGAAACUCAAAGGAAUUGACGGGGGCCCGCACAAGCGGUGGAGCAUGUGGUUUAAUUCGAAGCAACGCGAAGAACCUUACCAGGUCUUGACAUCCUCUGCCAACCCUAGAGAUAGGGCGUUCCCCUUCGGGGGACAGAGUGACAGGUGGUGCAUGGUUGUCGUCAGCUCGUGUCGUGAGAUGUUGGGUUAAGUCCCGCAACGAGCGCAACCCUUGAUCUUAGUUGCCAGCAUUCAGUUGGGCACUCUAAGGUGACUGCCGGUGACAAACCGGAGGAAGGUGGGGAUGACGUCAAAUCAUCAUGCCCCUUAUGACCUGGGCUACACACGUGCUACAAUGGAUGGUACAAAGAGCUGCGAACCCGCGAGGGUAAGCGAAUCUCAUAAAGCCAUUCUCAGUUCGGAUUGU